Callorhinus ursinus (northern fur seal) is the source of this 1225-nucleotide long non-coding RNA. RefSeq lists it as uncharacterized. Lineage: Eukaryota; Metazoa; Chordata; Mammalia; Carnivora; Otariidae. The record is from RefSeq and is a predicted model, not a curated record.
GCCAAGUGACUGAUCCUCUCCAUUGUAAAAUGAAAGUAAAAUUACCACAGCUUGGUAUAUAAUUGAUGGUGCAUCCAAAGCUGCGCAUUGAUUGCUCUUUUCCUUUGAGGCAUUCUACCUCCAGGGAUGGGAGAAGACGAACUUUUAAUAUGCUUUUCUCUGACAUGGGCUCUGGAAGGAUGUACAAUUCAUGGUCCAGAUCUAUGACCUCCAGCCAGGACUCAACACUCCUAAAGGCACCCAGACAACCCCUCAUUCUCCUACAGAGCAGUGGGAAUAUCACCAGGUAUCUGAGGUUCGCACAGCGAGUGUGUGAUGGAACCAUGUCUGACUCCAAACCCCUUGGGCUGCAUUGACGAGGCCACGUGUGUGGCCAUCCCUGUCCUUCCUCUUGGAGUACAGUUCCAGGAAGUGGAUGCGUCACUGCCUGCUGAAUCACUCCUGACACGGAUCUGGCUGUGAGCAACACGUGCUUCCAGCUCUGCAGCUCCCUGGGUCUCGUCUCCCCACCAGCUCAGGGGGUAGCUGAGGAAGUUCAUGGGCCUUGCCAACCAGGAUUGCUCAAGAGGGCCCAGCAAGGACCACAGGGGCUGCUCCAUGCCAGGCUCCGCAGAACCUCUGCGGUGGGAAUGGGUGGGGUGGGGAGGUGAGGGGCUGCCUACACCCGAGCACUUGCAGAGGGAGGAGGAAAACCAACAGAACCACUCUCUGGCCAAACCACAAUCCAUGCAGAUCUUUGAAGGAGAAGUUAAACGAUGAGAAUCGCUCAACCCAGAAAGAUGGUGAUUUAUAUGGCCCAAAGACUAAAAAGAAGAAAAAAAAAAAAAAAAAAAAAGCAAAAGGAAUUGAGAUACAACCACAAACACAGGCUGUACCACCAAAUGGCACAGUUUUGAGACUAGAGGGAAACCAUUCAGACCUCCAGCACUUAAAGACAAGAUAAGGAAAUGUCAAAUUAUGAAGUGGGUAUGAAAGAGACAAUGAAUCUAUUGCUUAUUAAAUGACAGAGUUAAAAUAUAUUCCUUGUUAUUUAUACCCUGCCUGUUUCCAAAGUAAGGAUUUGAAACUGCAGCUCAAAAUGAAACUGCUUUGGGAAAAACAAAAUGAAGUACUUAUUUCCAGACCACCCUGAAGUGUGAGAGGCAUUUUAAUCCUUGUAGGUCCCCCAGCAUGCAGGGCCCAACAUCCAUAGAUGCCAUGAAGCUAAAUAAAGUUUGGCAAAUUC